AACGAACGCUGGCGGCAUGCCUAACACAUGCAAGUCGAACGAGACCUUCGGGUCUAGUGGCGCACGGGUGCGUAACGCGUGGGAACCUGCCUUUAGGUUCGGAAUAACUCAGAGAAAUUUGAGCUAAUACCGGAUGAUGUCUUCGGUCCAAAGAUUUAUCGCCUUUAGAUGGGCCCGCGUUGGAUUAGCUAGUUGGUGGGGUAAAGGCCUACCAAGGCGACGAUCCAUAGCUGGUCUGAGAGGAUGAUCAGCCACACUGGGACUGAGACACGGCCCAGACUCCUACGGGAGGCAGCAGUGGGGAAUAUUGGACAAUGGGCGAAAGCCUGAUCCAGCAAUGCCGCGUGAGUGAUGAAGGCCUUAGGGUUGUAAAGCUCUUUUACCCGAGAUGAUAAUGACAGUAUCGGGAGAAUAAGCUCCGGCUAACUCCGUG
This 433-nucleotide ribosomal RNA is filed under the name uncultured bacterium. RNAcentral describes it as "partial 16S ribosomal RNA". It matches the Rfam family "Bacterial small subunit ribosomal RNA", at positions 29 to 507 of the family's 1533-position model. The record is from RNAcentral.